Molecule: ribosomal RNA, 468 nt
Filed under: uncultured bacterium
Lineage: Bacteria
Description: partial 16S ribosomal RNA
Rfam family: Bacterial small subunit ribosomal RNA
Source: RNAcentral
GACGAACGCUGGCGGCGUGCUUAACACAUGCAAGUCGAACGGAAAGGCCCUGCUUUUGUGGGGUGCUCGAGUGGCGAACGGGUGAGUAAAACGUGAGUAACAUGCCCUUGACUUUGGGAUAACUUCAGGAAACUGGGGCUAAUACCGGAUAGGAGCUCCUGCUGCAUGGUGGGGGUUGGAAAGUUUCGGCGGUUGGGGAUGGACUCGCGGCUUAUCAGCUUGUUGGUGGGGUAGUGGCUUACCAAGGCUUUGACGGGUAGCCGGCCUGAGAGGGUGACCGGCCACAUUGGGACUGAGAUACGGCCCAGACUCCUACGGGAGGCAGCAGUGGAGAAUAUUGCACAAUGGGCGGAAGCCUGAUGCAGCAACGCCGCGUGCGGGAUGACGGCCUUCGGGUUGUAAACCGCUUUCGCCUGUGACGAAGCGUGAGUGACGGUAAUGGGUAAAGAAGCACCGGCUAACUACGUG